RNAcentral lists this long non-coding RNA (300 nucleotides) under Bos taurus (domestic cattle). RNAcentral's name for it is "long non-coding RNA NONBTAT007281". Lineage: Eukaryota; Metazoa; Chordata; Mammalia; Artiodactyla; Bovidae. The record is from RNAcentral.
AAGUUUCUGUAGAAAUUUACUUAAAGACACUAGUGUAAAUUAUACUUUGUUUUAUUCAGCACAGAAAGCAGAAUGGUGAUUUCACGAAUAGUAAAGAAACCUGCUUUUAGAAUGUAGAUAAGAAUCCUCUAUUCUUUGGCAUACACAAUUGUGGGUAUCAUUCACAUUCCACACAUAAAUAAGCACAGCUCAUUAACAUUUAAUUAAAUAUGCUUUUGAAUGCCUUGGAAAUAUGCAUAUCAUACUUACCAUGUAAGUUUGGAGCUUACUUUUUAACAGACAUUUAAAAGAAAAUCAUUU